RNAcentral lists this non-coding RNA (176 nucleotides) under Hathewaya proteolytica. Lineage: Bacteria; Bacillati; Bacillota; Clostridia; Eubacteriales; Clostridiaceae. The record is from RNAcentral.
AUAAUUAUAUAUGUUUAAGGUACCCAUCAUGGGUUUAAUAGGGAAAGCGGUGAAAAUCCGCCACAGCCCCCGCUACUGUGAGCGAAUACAAAAUGGUAUAUCCACUGAGAAUUUUCGGGAAGGGCCAUGGAGGUUAAGUCGUAAGUCAGGAGACCUGCCCAAUAAUACAUACAUCA